UCAUUCAGUAUCAUGGCUGUGCCUCGCGA
Molecule: small RNA, 29 nt
Filed under: Bombyx mori (domestic silkworm)
Lineage: Eukaryota; Metazoa; Arthropoda; Insecta; Lepidoptera; Bombycidae
Description: ovarian small RNA-26327
Source: RNAcentral